GAUUUCCUGGUGGGUAGUUUCGGG
Molecule: non-coding RNA, 24 nt
Filed under: Mus musculus (house mouse)
Lineage: Eukaryota; Metazoa; Chordata; Mammalia; Rodentia; Muridae
Source: RNAcentral